UACGGGGGGAGCAAGCGUUGUUCGGAUUUACUGGGCGUAAAGGGCGCGUAGGCGGCCACCGCAAGUCGGUUGUGAAAUCUCUGGGCUUAACCCAGAAAGGUCAACCGAUACUGCGGGGCUAGAGUGCAGAAGGGGCAACUGGAAUUCUCGGUGUAGCGGUGAAAUGCGUAGAUAUCGAGAGGAACACCAAUGGCGAAGGCAGCUCGCUGGGACGGUACUGACGCUGAGGCGCGAAAGCGUGGGGAGCAAACAGG
RNAcentral lists this ribosomal RNA (254 nucleotides) under uncultured bacterium. Its description in RNAcentral is "partial 16S ribosomal RNA". It matches the Rfam family "Bacterial small subunit ribosomal RNA", at positions 524 to 776 of the family's 1533-position model. The record is from RNAcentral.